Molecule: ribosomal RNA, 585 nt
Filed under: uncultured bacterium
Lineage: Bacteria
Description: partial 16S ribosomal RNA
Rfam family: Bacterial small subunit ribosomal RNA
Source: RNAcentral
UGGGGAAUUUUGGACAAUGGGCGAAAGCCUGAUCCAGCAAUGCCGCGUGUGUGAAGAAGGCCUUCGGGUUGUAAAGCACUUUUGUCCGGAAAGAAAUCCUUGGCUCUAAUACAGUCGGGGGAUGACGGUACCGGAAGAAUAAGCACCGGCUAACUACGUGCCAGCAGCCGCGGUAAUACGUAGGGUGCAAGCGUUAAUCGGAAUUACUGGGCGUAAAGCGUGCGCAGGCGGUUUGCUAAGACCGAUGUGAAAUCCCCGGGCUCAACCUGGGAACUGCAUUGGUGACUGGCAGGCUAGAGUAUGGCAGAGGGGGGUUAGAAUUCCACGUGUAGCAGUGAAAUGCGUAGAGAUGUGGAGGAAUACCGAUGGCGAAGGCAGCCCCCUGGGCCAAUACUGACGCUCAUGCACGAAAGCGUGGGGAGCAAACAGGAUUAGAUACCCUGGUAGUCCACGCCCUAAACGAUGUCAACUAGUUGUUGGGGAUUCAUUUCCUUAGUAACGUAGCUAACGCGUGAAGUUGACCGCCUGGGGAGUACGGUCGCAAGAUUAAAACUCAAAUGAAUUGACGGGUCAUAGCUGUUUCCU